RNAcentral lists this transfer RNA (96 nucleotides) under Thermodesulfobacterium geofontis. RNAcentral's name for it is "tRNA-Sec". It matches the Rfam family "Selenocysteine transfer RNA". Lineage: Bacteria; Pseudomonadati; Thermodesulfobacteriota; Thermodesulfobacteria; Thermodesulfobacteriales; Thermodesulfobacteriaceae. The record is from RNAcentral.
GGAAGCGUAAGGGGGCUGGUGUCCCUCCCGGGCUUCAAACCCGGUGCACCCCAAAAUAAAGGGGUGGGUGGGUUCAAUUCCCACACGCUUCCGCCA